GAAUAUAUAAAUUUUUUUAGAGCUUCUAACUCUGAUCAAUAGCAAUUAAAUAUUGCUUAUGUUCU
RNAcentral lists this transfer RNA (65 nucleotides) under Aeolothrips xinjiangensis. RNAcentral's name for it is "tRNA-Ser". Lineage: Eukaryota; Metazoa; Arthropoda; Insecta; Thysanoptera; Aeolothripidae. The record is from RNAcentral.